GACGAACGCUGGCGGCGUGCCUAAUACAUGCAAGUACGACGCAGUUGCGAACGGGAGAGUAACGCGUAGGUAACUACCUAUUAGAGGGGGAUAACUAUUGGAAACGAUAGCUAAUACCGCAUACUAGUAGAACGACUUUCGUUUUAUUCGCUAGUAGGUAGGGUAAUGGCCUACCUAGCCAACGAUGCAUAGCCGACAAGAGGUGGGUAUCGGCCACACUGGGAAGUGGACAAGGCCCAGACUUCUACGGGAGGCAGCAGUAUGGUAUCUUCGGCAAUGGGGGGAACCCUGACCGAGCAACGGAGGGUGAGUGAAGAAGGUUUUCGGGUCGUAAAGCUCUGUUGUUAAGGGAGGGGUACGUAACCAGAAAGGGACGGCUAACUACGUGCCAGCAGGCGCGGUAAUAC
Molecule: ribosomal RNA, 407 nt
Filed under: uncultured bacterium
Lineage: Bacteria
Description: partial 16S ribosomal RNA
Rfam family: Bacterial small subunit ribosomal RNA
Source: RNAcentral